RNAcentral lists this ribosomal RNA (386 nucleotides) under uncultured bacterium. Its description in RNAcentral is "bacterial SSU rRNA". It matches the Rfam family "Bacterial small subunit ribosomal RNA", at positions 30 to 414 of the family's 1533-position model. The record is from RNAcentral.
AUUGAACGCUGGCGGCAUGCUUUACACAUGCAAGUCGAACGGCAGCACGGGUGCUUGCACCUGGUGGCGAGUGGCGGACGGGUGAGUAAUGCAUCGGAACGUGUCCUGAAGUGGGGGAUAACGCAUCGAAAGAUGUGCUAAUACCGCAUAUUCUCUGAGGAGAAAAGUAGGGGAUCGAAAGACCUUAUGCUUUUGGAGCGGCCGAUGUCUGAUUAGCUAGUUGGUAAGGUAAUGGCUUACCAAGGCAACGAUCAGUAGUUGGUCUGAGAGGACGGCCAGCCACACUGGGACUGAGACACGGCCCAGACUCCUACGGGAGGCAGCAGUGGGGAAUUUUGGACAAUGGGCGCAAGCCUGAUCCAGCCAUUCCGCGUGCAGGAUGAAGG